RNAcentral lists this unclassified non-coding RNA (335 nucleotides) under Gliophorus sp. RNAcentral describes it as "partial contains 5.8S ribosomal RNA, internal transcribed spacer 2, and large subunit ribosomal RNA". The stretch from base 1 to 75 matches the Rfam family "5.8S ribosomal RNA", at positions 84 to 154 of the family's 154-position model. Lineage: Eukaryota; Fungi; Basidiomycota; Agaricomycetes; Agaricales; Hygrophoraceae. The record is from RNAcentral.
GUGAAUCAUCGAAUCUUUGAACGCACCUUGCGCUCCUUGGUAUCCAUCCCGAGGAGCAUGCCUGUUUGAGUGUCGUGAAAUUCUCAAUCUCGUUAAAUUUUUGAUGAGUUUGGAUUCUGGAGGCUUUGCUGGCGAAAGUUGGCUCCUCUGAAAUGCAUUAGUGAAACCUUUCCAAACGGAAAACGGGCUUUGGUUUGAUAAUUGCUUUUGUCUAUGCCAUUGCCGUCGCCGUGAUGAUUUCGCUUACAACUGUCCUUUGGACAAAUCUUGACCUCAUUUGACCUCAAAUCAGGUAGGACUACCCGCUGAACUUAAGCAUAUCAAUAAGCGGAGGA